UCCCCUUCGAACCCUCGCCUGGGAACCUCCCUCCAUAUCCCGCGGAUGCAGCUACAAAAAGCAAAUAAAUAAAUAAAUAAAUAAAUAAAUAAAUGCUUACUUAUUAUCUUUGUAAAUUAGUGGGGAGAAAAAGCCAUUUCCAUAUGGGAACCCCAAGGACCCAGGCCUGGGGACCCUGAGCAAAUCAAUGGGGCACAGCACGUGGCUCACUGCCCUGCGCGUCCCCAGAGAGGAAGGACCAUUCUGGACGGUUUCUUGGUCCCCGGUCCCCGGACAGUACUCGCACCAGGACCGCUGCCAGGGCCUGGAGAGAGCGGAUCCAGCGUCCCAGCUCCGGAUCCAGCUUCCCAGCUCCGAGGCUCCUCAGACAGAAGAGGGCGGGGCCUCGUUCUUCCCUCCUGCCCCCAGGCUGCCAGGCUGCGUUUCAUAGUUUGAUUGAAAGUGUGCCAUCCCGUCUGUCUCUCCGCAAACAAAUGGAAUAUUCUGAGCUUCCAGCAUUUGGAGGCACACAGCUUGCAUCUUUUCCUGAAGAAAAAUAAAUAGCAUGUGUGGUUAACAACCGAGUCCUGAUGGAGAAAACAAUGCUGCCGACCAGAAGCCCUUGCGCAACCGGGGCCGCAGACGCCAGGCAGGUAGCUGAGCUUCGGCUCCUCUGCAAUGCCAAGUCCAUCCACUGUCAGAAGACCCCUCCUCCUCUGCCACCAGCUCACCCACACCCAUCCAGGACCCUGGCUUGCAGGGCUGUCCAUGUCUGUUUACAAACCGCAGGAGAGAAAGCAGCUCAAGGCAUAGGUCAAGCUGCAGAGCUUUUUGGAACAAGGGGUUUAAAACCUACCUUUUUUUGGAAUAAUCCCAGCUCCCAACUCUGGGAGAAACAAAUACAAACCAGAAUUCUCUGGCUGCGGUCUGUCUGAAUAUCUGGACACUUUUCCCAGCAUGUGACAUCCUCUUCCGUCCAGACUUCAAGGUUAAAAAUAGCCUGGCAAACCCUUUGAACUAUUGUCUCUUUCAAACACAAUAUGGAUUGUAUGUGUGUUUACCACUUGGAAGAAACGCUUUGUGACACAAGACAUGCUGACAGGGUGUUUCAGGCUAAGGGUGGAGGAGGGUGUCCACGGACUUGUUGAAUUUACACUAAAUACAUACACACACCUGUUCCCACGCACCCAGGCUGCUCCUGCCUGGUACAACCAUUCCCAAGCGGCUGCUAAGACUGUAACAACCCUGUGGAGUGAUCCAAUUGACCAAAACUCAGCAGGAAGCCCCAUUGUCUUCCUCCCUCCAAUAGAUCAGCAAAACGCGUGAUCAGGAAGAUUUUCUCUCUCUCUCUCUCUCUCUCUCUCUCUUUUUUUUUUUUUUUUUUUGGCCACCCUGCGGCAUAUCAAGUUCCCAGGCCAGGGAUAAGAUCCGAGCUGCAGUUGCAACCUAAGCCACAGCUUCAGCAAUGUCAGAUCCUUAACCCACUGUGCUGGACCGGGGAUCGAACUCUCACCCCAGCACUCCCAAGACACUGCCCAUCCCAUUGCGCCACAGCAGGAAAUCUGGGAAGAAUUUUAAGAAGUGGCCAUCUUAAAAUUUCUAACUGCCUUUCUGGUCCCAGCAGAUUUUUGUUCAAGAAAGAAUCACUAGGUAACCUUCUCUCUUUAAAGGCCCUGGGCCUUAAGAAAGGCCUCUCCUUCUAGAACCACUCUCCAUGCAGAGGUGGCUGCUGGCAGGACCUGAGAACCUUUGCUGUGGAGCCAGAACGCCUCCCUGGGAGCACAGGGGUGGGGAACUGGCCUGAGUUUUUGAGGUUCACAAUCCUAGAGCCUCUUGGUUGGACUGGAACAUUCUGGCCAUGGUCAGCUGGCAGGACAGGAGCAAGAGCUUCUCAGAAAAUGGGCAUUUGACUGGCAAAGCCAGCCCCACACCAGG
This 1914-nucleotide long non-coding RNA is filed under the name Sus scrofa (pig). RNAcentral describes it as "lncRNA (ENSSSCG00035035374.1)". The record is from RNAcentral. Lineage: Eukaryota; Metazoa; Chordata; Mammalia; Artiodactyla; Suidae.